GCUUUAAACAAUUAGCUUUGAAUAUAAUUGAACUAAUAUCUUAGCGCACAGAUGCCAAGAAAGUUAGUCUGAAAAGAAUAUAAUUUCGCCAAUACCAGGGGACUUUUUUGAGUCCAACAGUACCGUUUUACCCCGCCAUCUGGAUGCCUUUACAUUCAGAUGGCCGUAA
This is a non-coding RNA of Yersinia mollaretii ATCC 43969, 169 nucleotides long. NCBI's taxonomy places the organism in Bacteria, Pseudomonadati, Pseudomonadota, Gammaproteobacteria, Enterobacterales, Yersiniaceae. The record is from Rfam.